Molecule: microRNA precursor, 198 nt
Filed under: Dichanthelium oligosanthes
Lineage: Eukaryota; Viridiplantae; Streptophyta; Magnoliopsida; Poales; Poaceae
Description: MIR1435 microRNA precursor family
Rfam family: MIR1435 microRNA precursor family
Source: Rfam by way of RNAcentral
UUGGUUUGUUUAAAUCAAACUUGUUCAAUUUUAAUCAAGUUUAUAGAAAAAUAUAACAAUAUCUAUACUACCAAAUAUAUGCAUUAUUAAAAUAUAUUUUAUGGUGGAUUCAAUGAAACAAAUUUGGUAUAUAGAUGUUAUUAUAUUUUUCUAUAAACAUGGUCAAAGUUGAAUAAGUUUGACUUAAGACAAACCAAA